UCCUACGGGAGGCAGCAGUGGGGAAUAUUGGACAAUGGGCGCAAGCUUGAUCCAGCCAGCCGCGUGUGUGAAGAAGGCCCUCGGGUUGUAAAGCACUUUCAGUGAGGAAGAACGCCUGGCGGUUAAUACCCGCCAGGGAAGACAUCACUCACAGAAGAAGCACCGGCUAACUCCGUGCCAGCAGCCGCGGUAAUACGGAGGGUGCGAGCGUUAAUCGGAAUUACUGGGCGUAAAGCGCGCGUAGGUGGCUUGAUCAGCCGGUUGUGAAAGCCCCGGGCUCAACCUGGGAACGGCAUCCGGAACUGUCAGGCUAGAGUGCAGGAGAGGAAGGUAGAAUUCCCGGUGUAGCGGUGAAAUGCGUAGAGAUCGGGAGGAAUACCAGUGGCGAAGGCGGCCUUCUGGACUGACACUGACACUGAGGUGCGAAAGCGUGGGUAGCAAACAGGAUUAGAUACCCUGGUAGUCCACGCCGUAAACGAUGUCGACUAGCCGUUGGGUCCCUCGNGGACUUUGUGGCGCAGUAACGCGNUAAGUNCCG
RNAcentral lists this ribosomal RNA (538 nucleotides) under uncultured bacterium. Its description in RNAcentral is "bacterial SSU rRNA". It matches the Rfam family "Bacterial small subunit ribosomal RNA", at positions 337 to 871 of the family's 1533-position model. The record is from RNAcentral.